RNAcentral lists this long non-coding RNA (1663 nucleotides) under Malus domestica (apple). RNAcentral's name for it is "long non-coding RNA (MDOM_LNC020728)". Lineage: Eukaryota; Viridiplantae; Streptophyta; Magnoliopsida; Rosales; Rosaceae. The record is from RNAcentral.
AAGAGGUCGGCCCCCUUGGAGGGAUUAGCUAGUAAUCUUUCUCCUCCAAGGUCACUCAUUUCCUCAUCAAUCUUACCUUGGUGUGGAGAGGUUCUCAAUUUUGGGAACUUGGAGAACCAUUUCAUCCAUCCAAAUCCAUAGAUCUAAGAUGCAAGGAAUGAAUGCCCUCUCUUUGGGUGAUUAGCCUUUGCUUAUGCAAAGAGGAAUCUACAAAGGUAUAAUUUCUCAACUCACUUUGAUUUGAGUUGAGUCUUGGUUCACCAAUCUACUAGGUUUGAAUUUCAUGGUUAAUGUUUUGUUUUUAAGUGCAUGCAAGCAUGAUUCCGCCUUUAAUUGUUAAUUGCAUGCUUAUAGAUGUUGCUUAAAUGAACAUGUUUUUCACAAAUCUUCCUUCAAGUGGUAUCAGAGCCAGGUUUAGUAGUUGGUGAAUCCUUUUGGGUUUUGUAGUUCAUAGUCUUUGAUUUAAAUGUUGUAAUAUGUUACAAGCCUUAUUCUUGCUUCUUUGAAUGUAAAUUUUGUUGGAAAAUUUGCCAUCUCAAAUGUUGUAGAUGUAGUUCAUAUGAGCAUGAAUAUUGGAGCAAAAAUUUGGUGCCAUGUUUUUUGGGGAUUUUCGGCCAAAUCCAAAGGGUGAUUUUUUGGGUUCUUGUUUGACUUGUUAAAAGUGUUUUCAAAUAACUUUUGGAACCCCUAUGUACCCUAGUUUGGUUAUAUGUUAUUUCCCUUAAGUUUGAGUGGUUUUGGGAUUUCUUUGGAUGAAAAAUGUUCAUGGAGCUCUUAUGGGUUUUUCAUGAAUGUUCUUCAUUGUUUUGACAUUUUAGCCAAGAACAAAAAGUUUGGUGUUUUGAUUCAAAGUUUUGAUUUAUUUCAUAAAGUCUUUGUUUUGUGCUUUAUCAAAUGUUUUAAUGUGAUAGAAAUUGUGUAAGGUGAUAGAAAUGGUGAUGGGUGUGUAAGAAGUACUUCUCUUACACACACAUCACUUGCAUGACUUUAUGUCAUGCACCACUUGCAUGAAUUAAUGUCACACUUAUCUUGCACCACUUGCAAGGCUUUAUGACUUUGAAAAAAAAUUUCAAAAUUUUUGUGGACUCCUCUCCCAAAACCGGCCCUCCCUCAAGUAGGGUAAUUUUGGGGCUUUUAUGCAAUUACAUAAAGUUUUGAUACUUUUGUGUUUUUUCACUUUGACCCAAAAGUUUACGUAUUACGUAAAGGCCCAAAAUCAUUAAAGGACAAAUUGUUUUGUUCCUUUAAUGAAGUUUUUCAAUUUGUUGAAAUUUUUGGGUUCUAGUUGUGAUUACAUGAAGUAGUGGACUUUUGUGUUUUUACAAAAUGAGCUCAAAAGUUUAAGUUUUGCAACAUAGCCCAAAGGUUGAGGUUAUUGCAUUUUGGCCCAAAUUAGGUUGAGAACAAAAUGGUUUUGUCUCUUUAAAUGAGAAUUGGAUUUUCAUUUCAUUUAGCUCCAUUUAAAUCAAUUCUAUGGAUACAAAAACCAAAUGAAAAUGUUGCAUUCAAGUUUAAUUGGUUAAAGCGUUAAUUGAUUAAAGAAAGGGUGAUUAUGAACCUAAGCCUAAUAUAAUUGAGCUAUGUGAAAGGCCGUUUCAAAUUUGUUUGAACCAUGGGAAUGUGUAGAUUAGAUUUUGGUUGUGAUUUGAUUUGAUCAAAUGUU